RNAcentral lists this ribosomal RNA (442 nucleotides) under uncultured bacterium. Its description in RNAcentral is "partial 16S ribosomal RNA". It matches the Rfam family "Bacterial small subunit ribosomal RNA", at positions 338 to 795 of the family's 1533-position model. The record is from RNAcentral.
CCUACGGGGUGCAGCAGUGGGGAAUAUUGCACAAUGGGCGCAAGCCUGAUGCAGCCAUGCCGCGUGAAGGAAGAAGGCUUUCGGGUUGUAAACUUCUUUUGUCAGGGAAGAGUAGAAGACGGUACCUGACGAAUAAGCCACGGCUAACUACGUGCCAGCAGCCGCGGUAAUACGUAGGUGGCAAGCGUUGUCCGGUUUUACUGGGUGUAAAGGGCGUGUAGCCGGGUUGACAAGUCAGAUGUGAAAUCCUGCGGCUUAACCGCAGAACUGCAUUUGAAACUGUUGAUCUUGAGUACUGGAGAGGCAGACGGAAUUCCUAGUGUAGCGGUGAAAUGCGUAGAUAUUAGGAGGAACACCAGUGGCGAAGGCGGUCUGCUGGACAGCAACUGACGGUGAGGCGCGAAAGCGUGGGGAGCAAACAGGAUUAGAUACCCGGGUAGUC